GAACGAAAGUUUUUAACUUUAGUGGCGAACGGGGCGAAAUAAGUGAGAAUCUGCCCUUAGGAGAAGAAUAACUGCUGGAAACGGCUGCUAAGUCUUCAUAUGCCGAGAGGUGAAAUAAUUUCGAUUGCCUAAGGAUGAGCUCACGCCUGAUUAGCUUGUUGGUAAGGUAACGGCUUACCAAGGCCACGAUCAGUAGCUGGUUUGAGAGAAUGAUCAGCCACACUGGGACUGAGACACGGCCCAGACUCCUCCGGGAGGCAGCAGUGAGGAAUUUUCCGCAAUGGGCGAAAGCCUGACGGAGCAAUACCGCGUGAGGGAUGAAGGAUUUUGGUCUGUAAACCUCUUUUCUCAAGAAAGAAGUUCUGACGGUACUUGAGGAAUAAGCAUCGGCUAACUCCGUGCCAGCAGCCGCGGUAAUACGGGGGAUGCAAGCGUUAUCCGGAAUCAUUGGGCGUAAAGCGCCUGUAGGUUGUUUAAUAAGUCUGUUGUUAAAGACUAGGGCUCAACCCUAGAAAAGCAAUGGAAACUACUAGACUUGAGUAUGGCAGGGGUAGAGGGAAUUUCUAGUGUAGCGGUGAAAUGCGUAGAUAUUAGAAAGAACACCGGUGGCGAAAGCGCUCUACUGGACCAUUACUGACACUCAGAGGCGAAAGCUAGGGUAGCAAAAGGGAUUAGAUACCCCUGUAGUCCUAGCCGUAAACGAUGG
This 706-nucleotide ribosomal RNA is filed under the name uncultured Cyanobacterium sp. RNAcentral's name for it is "bacterial SSU rRNA". It matches the Rfam family "Bacterial small subunit ribosomal RNA", at positions 64 to 812 of the family's 1533-position model. The record is from RNAcentral. Lineage: Bacteria; Bacillati; Cyanobacteriota; Cyanophyceae; Chroococcales; Geminocystaceae.